AGAGAGAGACAUGCGCGCAUAUCAAUAAGCGGAGGAAAAGAAACUAACAAGGAUUCCCUUAGUAACGGCGAGUGAAGCGGGAAGAGCUCAAAUUUGAAAUCUUCAAGGUUUUACCUUGGACGAAUUGUAGUUUAAAGAAGUGUUUUCUGCUGAAGUUUUGGUAAAAGUUCUUUGGAAUAGGACAUCAUAGAGGGUGAGAAUCCCGUAUUUGACCAUUAUUUUCAGCUUUGUGAUACACUUUCAAAGAGUCGGAUUGUUUGGGAAUGCAGUCCAAAAUGGGUGGUAAAUUUCAUCUAAAGCUAAAUAUUGGCGAGAGACCGAUAGCGAACAAGUACCGUGAGGGAAAGAUGAAAAGAACUUUGAAAAGAGAGUUAAACAGUACGUGAAAUUGUCAAAAGGGAAGCGUUUGACACCAGUGUUGUUUUCUCGAAAAUCAAUUAAAAAUGGCUCGAUUUUGUAUUGUUGAGACCUUAAAAGCUCACUGUACAUUUUUCGUGUCUUUUUUAAUGCACUUUUCGUUUAACAAGUCAACAUCAGUUUCUUUUGUUGUAAAAGGGUCAUUGGAAGGUGGCUUUCUUUUCGGAGAGAGUGUUUAUAGCCUUUGGCCUCUGCAAUAGGAGAGACUGAGGUCUGCAGCGUAGACUCUUCGGGGUUAGAUACAUUUGUGCUAAGUUAUAGCUUUUUAUAGACAACUUGUUGACUAUAAUUAGUCUUGUAGCUUACUCGCUUAUGCUAUUUUACCUACGCUUAGGAUGUUGAGUCGUAGAGCACGCAG
This 775-nucleotide ribosomal RNA is filed under the name uncultured Neocallimastigales. Its description in RNAcentral is "partial large subunit ribosomal RNA". It matches the Rfam family "Eukaryotic large subunit ribosomal RNA", at positions 23 to 634 of the family's 3401-position model. The record is from RNAcentral. Lineage: Eukaryota; Fungi; Neocallimastigomycota; Neocallimastigomycetes; Neocallimastigales.